GACGAACGCUGGCGGCGUGCUUAACACAUGCAAGUCGAACGGAAAGGCCCUGCUUUUGUGGGGUGCUCGAGUGGCGAACGGGUGAGUAACACGUGAGUAACCUGCCCUUGACUUUGGGAUAACUUCAGGAAACUGGGGCUAAUACCGGAUAGGAGCUCCUGCUGAAUGGUGGGGGUUGGAAAGUUUCGGCGGUUGGGGAUGGACUCGCGGCUUAUCAGCUUGUUGGUGGGGUAGUGGCUUACCAAGGCUUUGACGGGUAGCCGGCCUGAGAGGGUGACCGGCCACAUUGGGACUGAGAUACGGCCCAGACUCCUACGGGAGGCAGCAGUGGGGAAUAUUGCACAAUGGGCGGAAGCCUGAUGCAGCAACGCCGCGUGCGGGAUGACAGCCUUCGGGUUGUAAACCGCUUUCGCCUGUGACGAAGCGUGAGUGACGGUAAUGGGUAAAGAAGCACCGGCUAACUACGUG
RNAcentral lists this ribosomal RNA (468 nucleotides) under uncultured bacterium. RNAcentral describes it as "partial 16S ribosomal RNA". It matches the Rfam family "Bacterial small subunit ribosomal RNA", at positions 28 to 507 of the family's 1533-position model. The record is from RNAcentral.